GGAUUUUACCCAUGCCCUUUUCAGUGAUGUCCUUUGGAUUACAUUCUAAACUAGUUUGUUUGAAUGUCAUUUCAGAACAACUCAUUACUUUCUGGCCAAAGAGUGAUUUGUAGUAAAGAAAGACCGUAUGGAUCAGAGAAAAGAGAUCUUAACAUCCUCUUCCUAAUGCAAAGAUUAGGCCCUCCUAGGGUUGAAUCCUAAGGAAUUUAGUCAAAAGAUGGCAUGCAACGGGUAGUUGAUUUGGAGUUCACGAAUCCUCUUGGAAAAAUAGAAUCAAGGAUUAGAAUCCUUAGCACUGCAUAUAUAAAAGCCCUUAGAUGGGGGUGCCACAUUUGAAGAUGGCAAUUUGUCAACUGGGGACAAUCUUCUAAUGCUAUGAACCUGAAUGAAGAUGACAUCAGUAUCCUUGGAAUUGGGUCUAUAACAUGCCCUUGGAAUUGCGAAAUUGUGUACAUUUUAAGAUGCACGCCUGGUUUGUUGGGGAAUAUUGUCUUCCAUCCUUAGUAACCCCAUGAUUACAUCAAGCGGCCAAGAUAAAACAACCAAGGAGAUUGACAAUAUAUAGAUGAUUUGGGCAACACUUGGUCGUCUGUGGUGGCAUCAAGAGGCACCCUACCUCUCCAUCAUACUAUUCCACUCGUGUCCAUUCUCAGAAGAAUUCAAAAAACCAAGCGAUUCUUAAUCCACUUAUACAUACAUACAUCUUAAGCGCGAGAAAAAUAUUCGUCAUUACAGGACUACUGUAUAAUCUAUCAAAUGGAAGACCUAUGUCCAAGAAUGCUUACUUCACAGGCACAAAGCCGACAAUGUGCUCAACCAAAUAUAAAUUUGCUUGUGCCCGGUGAUCCACCUGUCAUAAGAAACAUGUACAAUGCUACUGCUCCAUUGCUUCAACCUAAAUACUCACUUAGAUAUCAACAGUCCCACCUGGACAACUGUGAUCACUAUAUCAUGCAUUAAAUUCUUAUUUUGGAGCAUGCAAAUGUUUCUUGUUGAAUGGGCUCAUUUGGAGUCUUUUCAGAUCAUAAAGGAGAACAUUAUGUUGAAGGUUGGAUGCUGUGUAUUGCUUAGCAGAAGUUGAAUUGCAUAUUGUGGUUGGUCAAGGACUGCUGAUGUAGAAGGAUCCAGGAUAGGAAAGUGUGUUCCAGUCUCUGGAUCACUUUGCUGCUGGACUGCAAAAGGCUUUAGAAUUAAAGUUCACCUGAAAAUGUGUUCCUGUCUCUGGAUUUGCUCGUACCAAUCUUCUUAUGAUUUCAUGUUGCUGCUGGAGAUCGGAAAGUAGAAGCACACAUCAUCUCCCAAGGUGCAAUAAGAGCAAAAGAAGAUUACCCUGCUUGUCUAAAGAGGAAAGGAAUUGCUGCCUGGUUGCGCCUCCAGCGGCACAUCAAGUGACGUUGGACAUCAAGAUAUAUACCUGAGAAUUUCUACGAAACUGGAAGAAGAGAGAAGAAAAAAAAAA
Molecule: long non-coding RNA, 1459 nt
Organism: Asparagus officinalis (garden asparagus)
Lineage: Eukaryota; Viridiplantae; Streptophyta; Magnoliopsida; Asparagales; Asparagaceae
Exons: 4
Source: RefSeq, a predicted model, not a curated record